CGGCAUUUCCCAUACACGAUUUCAUGAAUAAAAUGCUUAUAAACUAUUUUUUUAAUUAGUUUCCAUUAAAAAAUCAUGAUAUUGAUUAUUAAAUAAAUAAUAAUUAUAGAUAAAAAUGGAAUCAUGGGGAAUCAUUUGGAAUAUUCCUAAUAUUAAACGAGGGUUUUCCUAUUUAGUCAAUUACUACCUCACAUGGGUUUCCUCUCACUCUGUUUGUU
Molecule: long non-coding RNA, 218 nt
Filed under: Vigna radiata
Lineage: Eukaryota; Viridiplantae; Streptophyta; Magnoliopsida; Fabales; Fabaceae
Description: long non-coding RNA (VRAD_LNC007101)
Source: RNAcentral